GAGAAUAAUGUAUUUUUCUAUAAAAUAAAUGCAUUCAAAGUUAAAUUUAAUACUUAAAAAGAAAUAAACUUUUUGCCCCUUAUGACAUUCAAACCUAGGUGAUGCAUUCAUCCAACAAGACGAUGCCUACACUAUAGAUCUUCAUAAUCAAAAGUCUAAGAAUGAUACAACCUGGUCUGAGCAUGAUCGGUUAAACAUGAAUAAACGCUUUGUCUAUUCGUACAAAAUUAUUUACUACACUACAUCUCACUCUACCCAAUCCACUCUUAAUUGUAAAGCAUGUAAGAGACACUAUUCUAUACACACUAUCUAAUCAAUCACUUAGGAGACACUUCAAUAAAUGUCUUUCACAAACAACAUCAAGAGAGAUAACUUCAAUUGGUCAUAAGUAUGUCUGAAGUACAUAUACCAUUGGCCAACACCAGUUGUACUAUUUGGAGUGAGAUACACUUUACACUUUGAGUCGAUUAUUACUUGUAACCUAGACUUGCCCAAAGUGUUAUCGACCGAUUAAUACAUCAAGUUUGACCAAAAUUAUAGUAUUUAGAUUAUGAUAUAGUACUUUGAGAACACACACAUACAUUUAUUAUGGCCAAAUUAUACUUCACAACACCGAGUACUCAUACUCGACUAAUAUAUGCCCAAACCAAGUAUAUAAAAUUACCUAAUAAACAUAAUUAAAGUAAAUAAAACAUAAUAAAUGUAUGAAAAUAUACUUGUAUUAAAACAAAAGAGUACAAAAUUUAAUACUACAAUCUAAGGACGAUACCAACCUCGACCAAAGAAAAUAAAAACAUACCAAAUAUUAAGCUAAGACUGAUGGUGAUCACACGAAUUCAAGAUGCCUUUAGAUUGCAGUCAGAAAUCCAUAUAUAUAUAUAUAGACGUCGAGGUAGACUAGGGCAAGCCCAUGCAGUUCAGCAACUAGAUUGCACAUAUUUCUUUACUUGUAAGCUUAAUCCUAUCAAAACCCAUUACAUCACUGUAGAUUUGACGCCGAAUGGAUCCUCGAUCCUUUCUUAUCUCCUUAUGCAGAUAGGAUGGCUGCUCUAUGGCCUCAAUCUGCUUGUGUUCUUAACUCGCUCUUUCUCACAUUAUUUGUUUUGUCUUCCAUUGUGGUCUAGUAUGAUCAUUUAUCCUUGGCUUAUCUCAUACAUCUAGAUUUCAUGCAGUAUCUGGUCUUGGCACAUCGAUUCUUCAAAUUAUUGUGUCAUG
RNAcentral lists this long non-coding RNA (1215 nucleotides) under Salvia miltiorrhiza (redroot sage). Its description in RNAcentral is "long non-coding RNA (SMIL_LNC012930)". Lineage: Eukaryota; Viridiplantae; Streptophyta; Magnoliopsida; Lamiales; Lamiaceae. The record is from RNAcentral.